GUAAUGCCUAGGAAUCUGCCUGGUAGUGGGGGACAACGUUUCGAAAGGAACGCUAAUACCGCAUACGUCCUACGGGAGAAAGCAGGGGACCUUCGGGCCUUGCGCUAUCAGAUGAGCCUAGGUCGGAUUAGCUAGUUGGUGAGGUAAUGGCUCACCAAGGCGACGAUCCGUAACUGGUCUGAGAGGAUGAUCAGUCACACUGGAACUGAGACACGGUCCAGACUCCUACGGGAGGCAGCAGCCU
Molecule: ribosomal RNA, 244 nt
Filed under: uncultured Pseudomonas sp.
Lineage: Bacteria; Pseudomonadati; Pseudomonadota; Gammaproteobacteria; Pseudomonadales; Pseudomonadaceae
Description: partial 16S ribosomal RNA
Rfam family: Bacterial small subunit ribosomal RNA
Source: RNAcentral